GACGAACGCUGGCGGCGUGCUUAACACAUGCAAGUCGAACGGAAAGGCCCUGCUUUUGUGGGGUGCUCGAGUGGCGAACGGGUGAGUAACACGUGAGUAACCUGCCCUUGACUUUGGGAUAACUUCAGGAAACUGGGGCUAAUACCGGAUAGGAGCUCCUGCUGCAUGGUGGGGGUUGGAAAGUUUCGGCGGUUGGGGAUGGACUCGCGGCUUAUCAGCUUGUUGGUGGGGUAGUGGCUUACCAAGGCUUUGACGGGUAGCCGGCCUGAGAGGGUGACCGGCCACAUUGGGACUGAGAUACGGCCCGGACUCCUACGGGAGGCAGCAGUGGGGAAUAUUGCACAAUGGGCGGAAGCCUGAUGCAGCAACGCCGCGUGCGGGAUGACGGCCUUCGGGUUGUAAACCGCUUUCGCCUGUGACGAAGCGUGAGUGACGGUAAUGGGUAAAGAAGCACCGGCUAACUACGUGCCAGCAGCCGCGGUGAUACGUAGGGUGCGAGCGUUGUCCGGAUUUAUUGGGCGUAAAGGGCUCGUAGGUGGUUGAUCGCGUCGGAAGUGUAAUCUUGGGGCUUAACCCUGAGCGUGCUUUCGAUACGGGUUGACUUGAGGAAGGUAGGGGAGAAUGGAAUUCCUGGUGGAGCGGUGGAAUGCGCAGAUAUCAGGAGGAACACCAGUGGCGAAGGCGGUUCUCUGGGCCUUUCCUGACGCUGAGGAGCGAAAGCGUGGGGAGCGAACAGGCUUAGAUACCCUGGUAGUCCACGCUGUAAACGGUGGGUACUAGGUGUGGGGUCCAUUCCACGGGUUCCGUGCCGUAGCUAACGCUUUAAGUACCCCGCCUGGGGAGUACGGCCGCAAGGCUAAAACUCAAAGGAAUUGACGGGGCCCCGCACAAGCGGCGGAGCAUGCGGAUUAAUUCGAUGCAACGCGUAGAACCUUACCUGGGUUUGACAUGGAUCGGGAGUGCUCAGAGAUGGGUGUGCCUCUUUUGGGGUCGGUUCACAGGUGGUGCAUGGCUGUCGUCAGCUCGUGUCGUGAGAUGUUGGGUUAAGUCCCGCAACGAGCGCAACCCUUGUUCACUGUUGCCAGCACGUUAUGGUGGGGGCUCAGUGGAGACCGCCGGGGUCAACUCGGAGGAAGGUGGGGAUGACGUCAAGUCAUCAUGCCCCUUAUGUCCAGGGCUUCACGCAUGCUACAAUGGCUGGUACAGAGAGUGGCGAGCCUGUGAGGGUGAGCGAAUCUCGGAAAGUCGGUCUCAGUUCGGAUUGGGGUCUGCAACUCGACCUCAUGAAGUCGGAGUCGCUAGUAAUCGCAGAUCAGCAACGCUGCGGUGAAUACGUUCCCGGGGAA
This 1346-nucleotide ribosomal RNA is filed under the name uncultured bacterium. Its description in RNAcentral is "partial 16S ribosomal RNA". It matches the Rfam family "Bacterial small subunit ribosomal RNA", at positions 28 to 1381 of the family's 1533-position model. The record is from RNAcentral.